GUAGGUGAACCUGCGGAAGGAUCAUUAACACGUAUCCACGUAUCAACCAAUGCGAACUUGUUUUCAAUCUCCCUCGAGCCUACAUGAAUUGACACUGGGCAGUGAUUAGAGAGGAGCUCCUCGGGGCUCAUCACUGACUAGCAACUGAGGUCGCUUCGGCGGACUCGACAAUUGUAGUAGGAUUGAGACUAAUUUCUAACGUGAGCAUAGCCACUCCCUGGGCCAGCUUCGUUAGGAUACUAACCUAUUUCACCCCCUUUUUGCUAGUUGACUUUAUAUAUGUUAAUAGACCUGCGUGCUUGCAUGCUUCGCCUAUUACACGUUUAUUUAUUUGAACGUUAUGAAACAACUUUUAGCAAUGGAUAUCUUGGUUCUC
Molecule: unclassified non-coding RNA, 376 nt
Filed under: rhizosphere metagenome
Description: partial ribosomal RNA internal transcribed spacer region
Source: RNAcentral